Small nuclear RNA from Dipodomys ordii (Ord's kangaroo rat), 103 nucleotides. NCBI's taxonomy places the organism in Eukaryota, Metazoa, Chordata, Mammalia, Rodentia, Heteromyidae. The record is from Ensembl.
GUGCUUGCUUGGGCAGUGCAUAUAUAAAAUUGGAACGAUACAGAGAUUGGCCUGGUCCCUGUACAAGGAUGACACGCAAAUUUGUGAAGCGUUCCAUAUUUUG